RNAcentral lists this ribosomal RNA (2591 nucleotides) under human oral metagenome. Its description in RNAcentral is "bacterial LSU rRNA". It matches the Rfam family "Bacterial large subunit ribosomal RNA". The record is from RNAcentral.
UUAAGGGCACACGGUGGAUGCCUUGGCAUUAAGAGCCGAUGAAGGACGUGUGAAUCUGCGAUAAGCCUCGGGGAGCCGAUAACUGGGCUGUGAUCCGAGGAUUUCCGAAUGGGGAAACCUGGCUCAUCUUCAUGGUGAGUUACCGCCAGCUGAAUGUAUAGGCUGGUUGGGGGGAACGCGGGGAAGUGAAACAUCUCAGUACCCGCAGGAAGAGAAAAUAAAGUAAUGAUUCUGUGAGUAGUGGCGAGCGAAAGCGGAAGAGACUAAACCUGUGGUGUGUGAUAGCGGUUAGGCGUUGCAUCAUGGGGGUUGUGGGAGUCACAGUGGCAGUUCUAACUGGCUGCCGGCAUGAUGUUCAGGAUGGUAGGUGAACGACUUGGAAUGGUCGGCCGUAGAGGGUGAGAGUCCCGUAAUCGAAAUUGUUCUGUCCGUGGUGUGGCCACCCGAGUAGCACGGGGCUCGUGGAAUCUCGUGUGAAUCUGCCAGGACCACCUGGUAAGUCUAAAUACUUCUUAGUGACCGAUAGUGAAUCAGUACCGUGAGGGAAUGGUGAAAAGUACCCCGGGAGGGGAGUGAAAUAGUACCUGAAACCGUGUGCUUACAAGCCGUUGGAGCCUUUUGGGGUGACAGCGUGCCUUUUGAAGAAUGAGCCUGCGAGUUAGUGUUAUGUCGCGAGGUUAACCCGUGUGGGGUAUCCGUAGCGAAAGCGAGUCUGAAUAGGGCGUUUGAGUGGCAUGACCUAGACCCGAAGCGGAGUGAUCUAUCCAUGGCCAGGUUGAAGCGACGGUAAGACGUCGUGGAGGACCGAACCCACUUCAGUUGAAAAUGGAGGGGAUGAGCUGUGGAUAGGGGUGAAAGGCCAAUCAAACUCUGUGAUAGCUGGUUCUCCCCGAAAUGCAUUUAGGUGCAGCGUUACGUGUUUCUUGCCGGAGGUAGAGCUACUGGAUGGCCGAUGGGCCUUCACGGGUUACUGACGUCAGCUAAACUCCGAAUGCCGGUAAGUGAGAGCGUAGCAGUGAGACAGUGGGGGAUAAGCUUCAUUGUCGAGAGGGAAACAGCCCAGACCACCAACUAAGGCCCCUAAGCGUGUGCUAAGUGGGAAAGGAUGUGGAGUUGCUUAGACAACCAGGAGGUUGGCUUAGAAGCAGCCAUCCUUGAAAGAGUGCGUAACAGCUCACUGGUCAAGUGAUUCUGCGCCGAUAAUGUAGCGGGGCUCAAGUACACCGCCGAAGUUGUGGCAAUGACCCUUUGGGGUUGUUGGGUAGGGGAGCGUCGUGUGGCCGUUGAAGCUGCGGUGUAAACCAGUGGUGGAGGCUAUGCGCCGGAUGAUCAAGGGUUCCAGGGUCAAGUUAAUCUGCCCUGGGUUAGUCGGGGCCUAAGGCGAGGCCGACAGGCGUAGUCGAUGGAUAACGGGUUGAUAUUCCCGUACCGGUGAAGAACCGCCCAUACUGAUAUUGUGAUGCUAACCAUGCGAAGCAUGAUGUGCAGGCUUUUGUUUGUGUGUUGUGUGGGUUGUGGGACCCGAUCUUUGGAGGUAAACGUGUUAACAGGUGUGACGCAGGAAGGUAGCCAAGCCACGCGAUGGUUGUCGUGGUCUAAGCGUGUAGGGUUGUCGGUUGUUAAAUGCGCCGGCUGUGUGCCUGAGACGUGAUGGGACCCCGUUUUUGGGGGAUUUGGUGAUCCUAUGCUGCCGAGAAAAGCAUCGGCGUGAGGUUUUAGCCGCCCGUACCCUAAACCGACACAGGUGAUCAGGUAGAGAAUACUAAGGCGAUCGAGAGAAUCAUGGUUAAGGAACUCGGCAAAAUGCCCCCGUAACUUCGGGAGAAGGGGGACCUUGAGCGUGAUGGGCACUUGCUGCCUGGAGCGUGUAUGGGUCGCAGAGACCAGGGGGAAGCGACUGUUUAUCAAAAACACAGGUCCGUGCGAAGUCGUAAGACGAUGUAUACGGACUGACUCCUGCCCGGUGCUGGAAGGUUAAGAGGAUUGGUUAGCUCUGUGGAGUCGUUGUUGAAAUACCACUCUGGUCAAUCUGGAUGUCUAACUUCGGGCCAUGAUCUGGUUCAGGGACAGUGCCUGAUGGGUAGUUUAACUGGGGCGGUUGCCUCCUAAAGUGUAACGGAGGCGCCCAAAGGUUCCCUCAGCCUGGUUGGCAAUCAGGUGUUGAGUGUAAGUGCACAAGGGAGCUUGACUGUGAGACUGGCAGGUCGAGCAGGGACGAAAGUCGGGACUAGUGAUCCGGCGGUACGUUGUGGAACGGCCGUCGCUCAACGGAUAAAAGGUACCUCGGGGAUAACAGGCUGAUCUUGCCCAAGAGUCCAUAUCGACGGCAUGGUUUGGCACCUCGAUGUCGGCUCGUCGCAUCCUGGGGCUGGAGUCGGUCCCAAGGGUUGGGCUGUUCGCCCAUUAAAGCGGUACGCGAGCUGGGUUCAGAACGUCGUGAGACAGUUCGGUCCCUAUCCGCUGCGCGCGUUGGAAAUUUGAGAAAGGCUGUCCUUAGUACGAGAGGACCGGGACGGACGAACCUCUGGUAUGUCAGUUGUACCGCCAGGUGCAUGGCUGAUUGGCUACGUUCGGGAGGGAUAACCGCUGAA